UGAGUUGUGGCUCAGUGGUAGAGCACUUACUUAGCAUGCAUGAGGCCCUGGGUUUAAUCUCUAGCACUGCAA
This 72-nucleotide transfer RNA is filed under the name Ictidomys tridecemlineatus (thirteen-lined ground squirrel). Its description in RNAcentral is "Spermophilus tridecemlineatus (thirteen-lined ground squirrel) tRNA". It matches the Rfam family "tRNA". From Rfam's summary of the family: Transfer RNA (tRNA) molecules are approximately 80 nucleotides in length. Their secondary structure includes four short double-helical elements and three loops (D, anti-codon, and T loops). The record is from Rfam by way of RNAcentral. Lineage: Eukaryota; Metazoa; Chordata; Mammalia; Rodentia; Sciuridae.